Molecule: long non-coding RNA, 1948 nt
Organism: Gadus morhua (Atlantic cod)
Lineage: Eukaryota; Metazoa; Chordata; Actinopteri; Gadiformes; Gadidae
Source: Ensembl
AUGAUGUUGUUGCACAGACAUCGAUGGCGACAACAUGUGUUUGUGAUUUUCGCGAUGCACCGUCCUCAACAUACUAAGCCCUAUGGAAGGGGAGAUUUGGAGGUACCUGGUCAGAUCUUGGUCAGCCUUCAAAUCCCAGAUGUGGAGACUGCAGGGAUACCUCACAGAGAAGACACUAAAGAUUCAACUCUCAUUCAUCGAGUGGACUCAUUGGUUUGCGAAUUACCACAAAGAUGCUCCCAUAGGCAGAUUGCUGCAUGGCAUGCACCGCUUAUUCAAAUUGAAGAGGUUGAAGCAGUCUUCCUUGUGGUCACUUGCCAUAACAAUGUCAUGUGUUUUAUGAAAACACCAUCAGUAACAUUUAAAUUGAGUUAAUGUGGACGGCUCUUUUUUUUGUCCGAUUUCUUCAGUGUUCAGUGCCUGUUUGUGAGAUAUGCAUUGUUUGAAAGAUAAGCCUUUGAUUUUGUUUAAUUUUAAUAUGCCUUUCAUCAACAGUGGUUUGGGGUUUUAUAACAACAAUUAAAGUGCUUAACUACUGGUGAACGAUGUUGCAGAACAUAUAUGGUUUGUGUUGAUUGCAGGGAAAAGGGAAUAACCAGUUACAACUUAUAUGGUAAGAGCCUGGUAAUACCAUGGAAACAAACUAGGCUUCCUUUUACAGUACAGUUUCACCUUACUUACUGGGUAAAUUGUCGUGUUUUACUUGGUAACGUCGCAGAACGUACAUGGUACAAGUCUGUGUUGACUGCAUGUAAAAGGGAAUAAUGUAUUACAAAUUAUAUGGUAAGAACCUGGUAAUACCAAGGAAAUAAACGAGGAUUCCUUUUACAGUACAGUUUCAGCUUAAUUACUGGGUAAAUUGUCGUGUUUUACUUGGUAACGUCGCAGAACGUACAUGGUACAAGUUUGUGUUGACUGCAUAGAAAAGGGAAUAAUGUAUUACAAAUUAUAUGGUAAGAACCUGGUAAUACCAUGGAAACAAACGAGGCUUCCUUUUACAGUACAGUUUUAACUUAAUUACUGGGUAAUUUGUCGUGUUUUACUUGGUAACGUCGCAGAACGUACAUGGUACAAGUUUGUGUUGAUUGCAUGGAAAAGAGAAUAAUGUAUUAGAAAUUAUAUGGUAAGAACCUGGUAAUACCAUGGAAACAAACGAGGCUUCCUUUUACAGUACAGUUUCAGCUUAAUUACUGGGUAAAUUGUCGUGUUUUACUUGGUAACGUCGCAGAACGUACAUGGUACAAGUUUGUGUUGACUGCAUAGAAAAGGGAAUAAUGUAUUACAAAUUAUAUGGUAAGAACCUGGUAAUACCAUGGAAACAAACGAGGCUUCCUUUUACAGUACAGUUUCAGCUUAAUUACUGGGUAAUUUGUCGUGUUUUACUUGGUAACGUCGCAGAACGUACAUGGUACAAGUUUGUGUUGAUUGCAUGGAAAAGAGAAUAAUGUAUUACAAAUUAUAUGGUAAGAACCUGGUAAUACCAUGGAAACAAACGAGGCUUCCUUUUACAGUACAGUUUCAGCUUAAUUACUGGGUAAAUUGUCGUGUUUUACUUGGUAACGUCGCAGAACGUACAUGGUACAAGUUUGUGUUGACUGCAUGGAAAAGGGAAUAAUGUCUUAAAAAUUAUAUGGUAAGAACCUGGUAAUACCAUGGAAACAAACGAGGCUUCCUUUUACAGUACAGUUUCAGCUUGAUUACUGGGUAAAUUGUCGUGUUUUACUUGGUAACGUCGCAGAACGUACAUGGUAAAAGUUUGUGUUGACUAGAUGGAAAAGGGAAUAAUGUAUGACAAAUUAUAUGGUAAGAACAUGGUAAUACUAUGGAAACAAACGAGGCUUCCUUUUACAGUACAGUUUCAGCUUAAUUACUGGGUAAAUUGUCGUGUUUUACUUGGUAACGUCGCAGAACGUACAUGGUACAAGUUUGUGUUGACUGCAUGGAUAAU